GAUGAACGCUGGCGGCGUGCCUAACACAUGCAAGUCGAGCGAACAAACGAGGAGCUUGCUCGUCUGACGUUAUGGGCGGGUGGGUGAUGAACACGUGGAUAACCUACCUAUAAGAAUGGCAUAACUACGGGAAACCGGAGCUAAUACCGGAUAAUAUAUUGAACCGCAUGGAUCAUUGGUCAUAGACGGUUUUGCUGUCACUUAUAGAUGGACCCGCGUCGCAUUAGCUAGUUGGUAAGGUAACGGCAUACCAAGGCGACGAUGCGUAGCCGACCUGAGAGGGUGGUCGGCCACACUGGAACUGAGACACGGUCCAGACUCCUACGGGAGGCAGCAGUAGGGAAUCUUACGCAAUGGGCGAAAGCCUGAUGCAGCAACGCCGCGUGAGUGAUGAAGGUCUUCGGAUCGUAAAGCUCUGUUAGUAGGGAGGAAGAAAUGUGUAUGUAUCUCUGCGCGUCUUGACGGUACCUAGAGAAGAAGCCCCGGCUAACUACGUG
This 497-nucleotide ribosomal RNA is filed under the name uncultured bacterium. Its description in RNAcentral is "partial 16S ribosomal RNA". It matches the Rfam family "Bacterial small subunit ribosomal RNA", at positions 28 to 507 of the family's 1533-position model. The record is from RNAcentral.